UGUUUCGGGGUUUAGGGUUUAGAGUUGAUGUUUUAGGGUUUAGAUUUGAAGGUUUAGGAUUUAGGGUUUAGGGUUACAGUUGAUGUUUCGGGGUUUAGGGUUUAGAGUUGAUGUUUUAAGGUUUAGAGUUUAGAGUUGAUGAUUUAGGGUUUAGAGUUGAUGUUUUAAGUUUAAAUUAGUUAACGAUAAGUUUUUUUUGUCAUAGUUAAUCAAAGGGUUAUAAAUGUCUUUUACUCUUCGUUAAAGAUAAUGAUAAAAGUGGUUAGUGUAAACAUAUGAAGUGGUACUUUGAAAAUACUAUUUUUGGCAAUUUUCCUUUAA
Molecule: long non-coding RNA, 321 nt
Filed under: Brassica napus (rape)
Lineage: Eukaryota; Viridiplantae; Streptophyta; Magnoliopsida; Brassicales; Brassicaceae
Description: long non-coding RNA (BNAP_LNC009018)
Source: RNAcentral